GCAAAACGCAUCACUCCAACUUCAUCACCUCGCAUACAAAGAGUAGGCUCCAACAACCAUUUGUAUAACAAACAAGGACUCCCUUUAGAUCUCCCGACCCACCAUUUCCACAAGGAGGUUUUCACUUUCUCAAUCACUUCCGCCACAUCCGUGUUACCGUUAUCGAAAACAAUUGAAUUUCGGUCUUGCCAAAAAAACCAAAUGACAGCUCCGCAAAUCAUCAUCACUCAUC
Molecule: long non-coding RNA, 232 nt
Filed under: Trifolium pratense (red clover)
Lineage: Eukaryota; Viridiplantae; Streptophyta; Magnoliopsida; Fabales; Fabaceae
Description: long non-coding RNA (TPRA_LNC001510)
Source: RNAcentral